AUGGUGACACAGGGAAGACCUCCCCGAAACAGCGACAGGAAGAUACACAGAGGUGACGAAGGAGGGGAGAGACGAGGAAGUGAGGGGUCCCUCCAGGAAGCGAGACACCUGGCUACCUGGGGUUCCAGAGAGAACAGAGACAGGGGAGGUCAGGAAACCACAGGCUUUCCCGGAGCUGGAGAACAGCUCGGUGGAUUAUCAGAAGCCGGAGAUACAGCGGGUCCUACGGGCUGCCAGAAAGACAAAGCCCAGGUGGCCCGCACAGAAUCGACGCCCCAGCAGCGGUGCAGCCCCCACACCAGCCCUGUAAGCACCAGCAAAGCAUCGGCUUUAAAGGGAGGGCGUCCAGCAAAGUUCUGGGGUGCAGAGCUCCAGCUGGAGUUCUAUCCCCAGCCCAACUAUCACUGGGUGGGGGGAAGGGGCGGCACCAGAGUCUCCAGACAGGCGGCUCUCCCAACACCCCUCCCAUGCACCUUUUCUGCGAGGCGUUGGGGGGUGGGUUCUGCCAAAGUGAGAGUGGGAUCAGGAAGCAAGAGGUCCAGGCCCCGAGAGCUGAGUAACGGACCCCCGGACCCCCGAGCAAUGGAGGUGGGCCACCCGCUGUGCCUGCGGCCCGGCCACCCUUCAGGUGCACUGGGUAGGAGAGGUCAGAGGCCUCAGGGGGGAUCCUCCAGGGGCGGGAGGGGGGCCACCCCCAGAAAGACUGCUCUUCCGUGGCCUCCCUGCAGCCUCUCCCCCGGGGCCGCACCUGCCGCCAAGGCCCAUGCUACCCCCACUCGGCCCUGCGACCCGCAGCGGCCUCUUACCUCCGGUCAGGCAGGCGUUUGGGGAACACAAGUGGGCUGGGGUCAGCCUGGAUUUGACUCAGUCGCCCUCUCUGCCCUGCUGGCAUGGGAGCCUCAGGGCCUGUGGGCACAGGAGGCUGUAGGAAAAAGAGGAGAUGAGCCGUCAGCCAGAGCCAGGCCACGGGGGCAGAUCGAGGGGCAGCGGGAGGCCAGGCGCACAGAUGGGUCUGACUGCACCUGCCGGGCGGUCAGCAGCCCCCACACACAUACACACACUCACAUGCCACCAGCUGGGGCAGGUGGGACCUGGGAAUGGGGGGUCUCUGGCCCCAAGUUGAAGGUCUGCCUCCCCACCCACUGGCUCUAUGACCUUGGGAUGAUCAAGUCUCUGAGCCUCACUUCCCCUCCUCAUAAAAUGGGGAUCCUGGUGCUCCUGCCUGGUCCAGGAGGAGAUAAACAGAGAAGGCCACGUGGCCUGGCGCGCAGCAGCACCCAGCCAGCACCUGCCUGGAGGCAGGCCUGA
This 1308-nucleotide long non-coding RNA is filed under the name Canis lupus familiaris (dog). Its description in RNAcentral is "lncRNA (ENSCAFG00030008222.1)". Lineage: Eukaryota; Metazoa; Chordata; Mammalia; Carnivora; Canidae. The record is from RNAcentral.